UUUCGCCUACGGGGCGCAGCAGUGGGGAAUAUUGGGCAAUGGGCGCAAGCCUGACCCAGCAAUGCCGCGUGAAGGAAGAAGGCCCUCGGGUUGUAAACUUCUUUUAUCAGGGACGAAGGAUGUGACGGUACCUGAUGAAUAAGCUCCGGCUAACUACGUGCCAGCAGCCGCGGUAAUACGUAGGGAGCAAGCGUUAUCCGGAUUUACUGGGUGUAAAGGGCGCGUAGGCGGGAUGGCACGUCAGAUGUGACAUCCGGGGGCUCAACCCCUGGACUGCAUUUGAAACUGUCGUUCUUGAGUACUGG
RNAcentral lists this ribosomal RNA (305 nucleotides) under uncultured bacterium. RNAcentral's name for it is "bacterial SSU rRNA". It matches the Rfam family "Bacterial small subunit ribosomal RNA", at positions 333 to 652 of the family's 1533-position model. The record is from RNAcentral.